AUAUCAAUAAGCGGAGGAAAAGAAACCAACAGGGAUUGCCCCAGUAACGGCGAGUGAAGCGGCAACAGCUCAAAUUUGAAAUCUGGCUCUCGGGCCCGAGUUGUAAUUUGUAGAGGAUGCUUUUGGUGAGGUGCCUUCCGAGUUCCCUGGAACGGGACGCCAUAGAGGGUGAGAGCCCCGUCUGGUUGGACACCGAUCCUCUGUAAAGCUCCUUCGACGAGUCGAGUAGUUUGGGAAUGCUGCUCUAAAUGGGAGGUAUAUGUCUUCUAAAGCUAAAUACCGGCCAGAGACCGAUAGCGCACAAGUAGAGUGAUCGAAAGAUGAAAAGAACUUUGAAAAGAGAGUUAAACAGUACGUGAAAUUGUUGAAAGGGAAGCGCUUGUGACCAGACUUGGGCUUGGUUGAUCAUCCGGGGUUCUCCCCGGUGCACUCUUCCGGCUCAGGCCAGCAUCAGUUCGCCCUGGGGGAUAGAGGCUUCGGGAAUGUGGCUCUCUCCGGGGAGUGUUAUAGCCCGCUGCGUAAUACCCUGUGGCGGACUGAGGUUCGCGCAUUCGCAAGGAUGCUGGCGUAAUGGUCAUCAGUGA
This 584-nucleotide ribosomal RNA is filed under the name uncultured fungus. Its description in RNAcentral is "eukaryotic LSU rRNA". It matches the Rfam family "Eukaryotic large subunit ribosomal RNA", at positions 40 to 647 of the family's 3401-position model. Lineage: Eukaryota; Fungi. The record is from RNAcentral.